GGGCGCAUAGUCUCAGUUGGUUAGAGCGCUUCCUUCACACGGAAGAGGUCACAGGUUCGAGUCCUGUUGCGCCCACCA
RNAcentral lists this transfer RNA (78 nucleotides) under Actomonas aquatica. RNAcentral's name for it is "Opitutus sp. WL0086 tRNA-Val". It matches the Rfam family "tRNA". Rfam says of the family: Transfer RNA (tRNA) molecules are approximately 80 nucleotides in length. Lineage: Bacteria; Pseudomonadati; Verrucomicrobiota; Opitutia; Opitutales; Opitutaceae. The record is from RNAcentral.